This is a non-coding RNA of Podarcis lilfordi (Lilford's wall lizard), 75 nucleotides long. The record is from the annotation of a GenBank genome assembly. NCBI's taxonomy places the organism in Eukaryota, Metazoa, Chordata, Lepidosauria, Squamata, Lacertidae.
UGUCUGAUAGCUCAGUUGGUUAGGGCAUGGUGCUGAUAAGGCCAAGGUUGCAGCUUCAAUCCCUGUAUUAGACAG